GGGAAUUUUAAAGCGUUAAGUUAUUACGACAGAUAAAGUGUAGAACACAUUAAUCGUCACCGAAAAUGUGCGGUAUUCUAAACGGCAGCUGAGAUAAAAUUCCGACUAAAACAUGACUCAGGCGACGCUAAUAAACAAAUAGUUUACAUGUUUAUCGUAAAAAUUAUGAAAUAUCCGAUUUAUAUGAGUUUAUCUUACAAUUCCCCCGACUUCCAAUACAAAGCCGACUUCGGUAGUGGUGACUUCCAAUACACUUGUCCUCGUGCUUCUUGCGAGCAGAGAGCAUGCGCGUGGCAUGUUGUUAGUAUCGGUAUUGGUAUCGGAAGUCGAACUUAAACUCUCUAGUA
This is a non-coding RNA of Paramuricea clavata, 347 nucleotides long. The record is from the annotation of a GenBank genome assembly. Lineage: Eukaryota; Metazoa; Cnidaria; Anthozoa; Malacalcyonacea; Plexauridae.